UCCGGAUAAACUUGUAUCCAUCCAAGAGAAUGGGGCAAGUCACUUUACGGAAUUAGAUUAAGCAACACAUUUUGGGAUUGCCAAAGGCUUACAUACAAGCGAAAUUCCAAAGUGAAAGGAUAACCGUAUGUCCUUUAGCAUAUUUUAUGUUAUAAAAAUAAUCUUGAACAGCUUUAGUUAAGUUUUCAAGUUACGGUAUG
Molecule: non-coding RNA, 200 nt
Filed under: unclassified sequences
Description: IS605-orfB-I RNA
Rfam family: IS605-orfB-I RNA
Source: Rfam by way of RNAcentral